Molecule: transfer RNA, 74 nt
Filed under: Allomuricauda sp.
Lineage: Bacteria; Pseudomonadati; Bacteroidota; Flavobacteriia; Flavobacteriales; Flavobacteriaceae
Also listed under: 11 other names
Description: tRNA-Asn
Rfam family: tRNA
About the family: Transfer RNA (tRNA) molecules are approximately 80 nucleotides in length.
Source: RNAcentral
UCCUCCUUAGCUCAGUUGGUUAGAGCAUCUGACUGUUAAUCAGAGGGUCGCUGGUUCGAGCCCAGCAGGGGGAG